GACGAACGCUGGCGGCGUGCUUAACACAUGCAAGUCGAACGGAAAGGCCCUGCUUUUGUGGGGUGCUCGAGUGGCGAACGGGUGAGUAACACGUGAGUAACCUUCCCUUGACUUUGGGAUAACUUCAGGAAACUGGGGCUAAUACCUGAUAGGAGCUCCUGCUGCAUGGUGGGGGUUGGAAAGUUUCGGCGGUUGGGGAUGGACUCGCGGCUUAUCAGCUUGUUGGUGGGGUAGUGGCUUACCAAGGCUUUGACGGGUAGCCGGCCUGAGAGGGUGACCGGCCACAUUGGGACUGAGAUACGGCCCAGACUCCUACGGGAGGCAGCAGUGGGGAAUAUUGCACAAUGGGCGGAAGCCUGAUGCAGCAACGCCGCGUGCGGGAUGACGGCCUUCGGGUUGUAAACCGCUUUCGCCUGUGACGAAGCGUGAGUGACGGUAAUGGGUAAAGAAGCACCGGCUAACUACGUG
RNAcentral lists this ribosomal RNA (468 nucleotides) under uncultured bacterium. Its description in RNAcentral is "partial 16S ribosomal RNA". It matches the Rfam family "Bacterial small subunit ribosomal RNA", at positions 28 to 507 of the family's 1533-position model. The record is from RNAcentral.